UUAUGCCCUGUCGAACAACCGCAGUUCGACAGGUACCCUGUCGAAUUAUGGUUGUUUGAUAUGUCCCCCUGUCAAACUGUGGAUAUUUGACAGGGCA
RNAcentral lists this microRNA precursor (97 nucleotides) under Oryza glaberrima (African rice). RNAcentral describes it as "pre miRNA MIR439". The record is from RNAcentral. Lineage: Eukaryota; Viridiplantae; Streptophyta; Magnoliopsida; Poales; Poaceae. RNAcentral also lists the same sequence under 1 other name.